Molecule: ribosomal RNA, 389 nt
Filed under: uncultured Streptococcus sp.
Lineage: Bacteria; Bacillati; Bacillota; Bacilli; Lactobacillales; Streptococcaceae
Description: bacterial SSU rRNA
Rfam family: Bacterial small subunit ribosomal RNA
Source: RNAcentral
GAUGCUAUUCUAGAGAUAGAAAGUUACUUCGGUACAUCGGUGACAGGUGGUGCAUGGUUGUCGUCAGCUCGUGUCGUGAGAUGUUGGGUUAAGUCCCGCAACGAGCGCAACCCCUAUUGUUAGUUGCCAUCAUUCAGUUGGGCACUCUAGCGAGACUGCCGGUAAUAAACCGGAGGAAGGUGGGGAUGACGUCAAAUCAUCAUGCCCCUUACGACCUGGGCUACACACGUGCUACAAUGGUUGGUACAACGAGUUGCGAGUCGGUGACGGCGAGCUAAUCUCUUAAAGCCAAUCUCAGUUCGGAUUGUAGGCUGCAACUCGCCUACAUGAAGUCGGAAUCGCUAGUAAUCGCGGAUCAGCACGCCGCGGUGAAUACGUUCCCGGGCCUU